This 374-nucleotide ribosomal RNA is filed under the name uncultured organism. RNAcentral describes it as "bacterial SSU rRNA". It matches the Rfam family "Bacterial small subunit ribosomal RNA", at positions 526 to 896 of the family's 1533-position model. The record is from RNAcentral.
CGUAGGGACCAAGCGUUGUUCGGAUUUACUGGGCGUAAAGGGCGCGUAGGCGGCAAUUCAAGUCAUCUGUGAAAUCUCCGGGCUUAACUCGGAACGGUCAGAUGAUACUGCUUUGCUCGAGUGCGGAAGGGGCAAUCGGAAUUCUUGGUGUAGCGGUGAAAUGCGUAGAUAUCAAGAGGAACACCUGAGGUGAAGACGGGUUGCUGGGCCGACACUGACGCUGACAGCGCGAAAGCCAGGGGAGCAAACGGGAUUAGAUACCCCGGUAGUCCUGGCCCUAAACGAUGAAUACUUGGUGUCUGGAGUUUUUAGUGCUCCGGGUGCCGUCGCUAACGUUUUUAGUAUUCCGCCUGGGGAGUACGCUCGCAAGAGUG